AACGAACGCUGGCGGCAUGCCUAACACAUGCAAGUCGAACGAUCCCUUCGGGGAUAGUGGCGCACGGGUGCGUAACGCGUGGGAACCUGCCCUUAGGUUCGGAAUAACUCAGAGAAAUUUGAGCUAAUACCGGAUAAUGUCUUCGGACCAAAGAUUUAUCGCCUUUGGAUGGGCCCGCGUUGGAUUAGCUAGUUGGUGGGGUAAAGGCCUACCAAAGCGACGAUCCAUAGCUGGUCUGCGAGGAUGAUCAGCCACACUGGGACUGGGACACGGCCCAGACUCCUACGGGAGGCAGCAGUGGGGAAUAUUGGACAGUGGGCGGAAGCCUGAUCCAGCAAUGCCGCGUGAGUGAUGAAGGCCUUAGGGUUGUAAAGCUCUUUUACCCGGGAUGAUAAUGACAGUACCGGGAGAAUAAGCCCCGGCUAACUCCGUG
RNAcentral lists this ribosomal RNA (433 nucleotides) under uncultured bacterium. RNAcentral's name for it is "partial 16S ribosomal RNA". It matches the Rfam family "Bacterial small subunit ribosomal RNA", at positions 29 to 507 of the family's 1533-position model. The record is from RNAcentral.